CCGGGCGCACGGGUGAGUAACGCGUAUCCAACCUGCCUUACACUCUUGGACAGCCUUCUGAAAGGGAGAUUAAUACAAGAUGUUAUCAUGAGUAAGCAUUUUCACAUGAUUAAAGGUUUACCGGUGUAAGAUGGGGAUGCGUUCCAUUAGAUAGUAGGCGGGGUAACGGCCCACCUAGUCUUCGAUGGAUAGGGGUUCUGAGAGGAAGGUCCCCCACAUUGGAACUGAGACACGGUCCAA
This 240-nucleotide ribosomal RNA is filed under the name uncultured bacterium. RNAcentral's name for it is "partial 16S ribosomal RNA". It matches the Rfam family "Bacterial small subunit ribosomal RNA", at positions 94 to 334 of the family's 1533-position model. The record is from RNAcentral.